Molecule: ribosomal RNA, 307 nt
Filed under: uncultured bacterium
Lineage: Bacteria
Description: bacterial SSU rRNA
Rfam family: Bacterial small subunit ribosomal RNA
Source: RNAcentral
GACGAACGCUGGCGGCGUGCCUAACACAUGCAAGUCGAACGGAAGUAAGUGCUUCGGUAUUUACUUUAGUGGCGAACGGGUGAGUAACGCGUGAGGAACUUGCCUCUUAGACCGGGACAACAUCUGGAAACGGAUGCUAAUACCGGAUAUUAUGGUUUUUCGCAUGGAGGAAUCAUGAAAGCUGGAUGCGCUAAGAGAGAGCUUUGCGUCCCAUUAGCUAGUUGGUGAGGUAACGGCCCACCAAGGCAAUGAUGGGUAGCCGGCCUGAGAGGGUGAACGGCCACAAGGGGACUGAGACACGGCCCUU